Tribolium castaneum (red flour beetle) is the source of this 96-nucleotide non-coding RNA. The record is from RefSeq and is marked provisional. NCBI's taxonomy places the organism in Eukaryota, Metazoa, Arthropoda, Insecta, Coleoptera, Tenebrionidae.
GGGACGCUUUGCCACUACGUUGUACUGAAUUUCAUGUGGGCUGCUGUUUUGCGUAGCACCAUGGGAUUCAGCUCAUCGUUUGGUUAUCUGCUAACU